GGGUGGAUAUAGUAAACGUCAAAAUUAUUAUGCUGGCGAGCAUUAUAAUUGUCCUUUUGGAAUAAAAAGGCGUUGACCCGCGCCGCCGGUUUCGGCAUUACGCAUUUUGCUACAUACUUAACGUCUUAGAAGAAAAGACCGAGGAAAUCAUUUUGGCAGGAAGUAGCUUACUGACAUUACUCGACGAUAUCGCCACGCUGCUGGACGAUAUUUCGGUAAUGGGCAAAUUGGCCGCGAAAAAAACCGCGGGCGUACUGGGGGACGACCUGUCGCUCAAUGCGCAGCAGGUGACCGGCGUUCGCGCUAAUCGCGAGCUGCCAGUGGUAUGGAGCGUGGCGAAAGGAUCAUUAAUCAACAAGGUUAUUCUGGUGC
This 372-nucleotide unclassified non-coding RNA is filed under the name uncultured fungus. Its description in RNAcentral is "partial internal transcribed spacer 1". Lineage: Eukaryota; Fungi. The record is from RNAcentral.